Mastomys coucha (southern multimammate mouse) is the source of this 158-nucleotide small nuclear RNA. RefSeq annotates it as U1 spliceosomal RNA. Lineage: Eukaryota; Metazoa; Chordata; Mammalia; Rodentia; Muridae. The record is from RefSeq and is a predicted model, not a curated record. The transcript has a single exon.
AAACUUGCCCCAAAGGGGAGAUACUAUGGUCACCAAGGUGUUUUUCCUGGGGUGCAGCUCCUCCACUGCACUCCACAAAAGCUGACCCUUACAGUUUUCCUAAAUUCAGAAAAUUGCAUAACUUAUAGCAGUGGGGGGCUGCAUUCUCAAUUCCCCCU